Molecule: unclassified non-coding RNA, 291 nt
Organism: Dipodomys ordii (Ord's kangaroo rat)
Lineage: Eukaryota; Metazoa; Chordata; Mammalia; Rodentia; Heteromyidae
Gene: 7SK
Rfam family: 7SK RNA
About the family: 7SK was discovered as an abundant small nuclear RNA in the mid-70s but a possible function has only recently been suggested. Two independent studies have found that 7SK RNA binds the CDK9/cyclin T complex (known as elongation factor P-TEFb). P-TEFb activates transcription by phosphorylating the C-terminal domain of RNA polymerase II.
Source: Ensembl
GGAUGUGAGGCAAUUUGGCUGUGACAUCUGUCACUACAUUGGUUGCCAGGGUUGGAUUUGCUGAUCCCGUUGGCUUAGCUGGUGUCUCCUUCUCCCUUACAUAUGCAGCUGUCCCCAAACUGUGCAAUAGAGCCAAGAGAACAACCAUCCUGGAUAAAAGAAGCAUGCAACUUUGAUCAAGAGUGUAGAGUAACCGUGCUCCCCUACUAGAAGGUCCAAACAAGCUUUCAAAGACAAGAAGAAGAACAGAAAGAACAAGCCCAAGAUAAAUAUCCUUGUAGAGAGGAAUAA